UACGUAGGGGGCAAGCGUUGUCCGGAAUCAUUGGGCGUAAAGCGCGUGUAGGCGGCUUGGUAAGUCCGCUCUGAAAGCCCGGGGCUCAACCCCGGGAGGCGGGUGGAUACUGUCAAGCUCGAGUCCGGAAGAGGCGAGUGGAAUUCCUGGUGUAGCGGUGAAAUGCGUAGAUAUCGGGAGGAACACCAGUGGCGAAGGCGACUUCCUGGCCUGUUCUUGACGCUGAGGCGCGAAAGCUAGGGGAGCAAACGGG
This 253-nucleotide ribosomal RNA is filed under the name uncultured bacterium. Its description in RNAcentral is "partial 16S ribosomal RNA". It matches the Rfam family "Bacterial small subunit ribosomal RNA", at positions 524 to 776 of the family's 1533-position model. The record is from RNAcentral.